RNAcentral lists this ribosomal RNA (468 nucleotides) under uncultured bacterium. RNAcentral describes it as "partial 16S ribosomal RNA". It matches the Rfam family "Bacterial small subunit ribosomal RNA", at positions 28 to 507 of the family's 1533-position model. The record is from RNAcentral.
GACGAACGCUGGCGGCGUGCUUAACACAUGCAAGUCGAACGGAAAGGCCCUGCUUUUGUGGGGUGCUCGAGUGGCGAACGGGUGAGUAACACGUGAGUAACCUGCCCUUGACUGUGGGAUAACUUCAGGAAACUGGGGCUAAUACCGGAUAGGAGCUCCUGCUGCAUGGGGGGGUUUGGAAAGUUUCGGCGGUUGGGGAUGGACUCGCGGCUUAUCAGCUUGUGGGGGGGGUAGUGGCUUACCAAGGCUUUGACGGGUAGCCGGCCUGGGAGGGUGACCGGCCACAUUGGGACUGAGAUAGGGCGCAGACUCCUACGGGAGGCAGCAGUGGGGAAUAUUGCACAAUGGGCGGAAGCCUGAUGCAGAAACGCCGCGUGCGGGAUGACGGCUUUCGGGUUGUAAACCGCUUUAGCCUGUGACGAAGCGUGAGUGACGGUAAUGGGUAAAGAAGCACCGGCUAACUACGUG